CCUACGGGAGGCAGCAGUGGGGAAUAUUGGACAAUGGGCGCAAGCCUGAUCCAGCCAUGCCGCGUGGAUGAUGAAGGCCUUUGGGUUGUAAAGUCCUUUUAGCGGGGAAGAUAAUGCCGGUACCCGCAGAAAAAGCCCCGGCUAACUUCGUGCCAGCAGCCGCGGUAAUACGAAGGGGGCUAGCGUUGCUCGGAAUUACUGGGCGUAAAGCGCACGUAGGCGGCUCUUUAAGUCGGGGGUGGAAUCCUGGAGCUCAACUCCAGAACUGCCUUCGAUACUGAAGAGCUUGAGUCCGGGAGAGGUGAGUGGAACUGCGAGUGUAGAGGUGAAAUUCGUAGAUAUUCGCAAGAACACCAGUGGCGAAGGCGGCUCACUGGCCCGGUACUGACGCUGAGGUGCGAAAGCGCGGGGAGCAAACAGGGUUAGAUACCCUGGUAGUCCACGCCGUAAACGAUGAAUGCUAGCCGUUGGCGAGCUUGCUCGUCAGUGGCGCAGCUAACGCUUUAAGCAUUCCGCCUGGGGAGUACGGUCGCAAGAUUAAAACUCAAAGGAAUUGACGG
RNAcentral lists this ribosomal RNA (560 nucleotides) under uncultured bacterium. RNAcentral describes it as "bacterial SSU rRNA". It matches the Rfam family "Bacterial small subunit ribosomal RNA", at positions 338 to 916 of the family's 1533-position model. The record is from RNAcentral.